RNAcentral lists this long non-coding RNA (4990 nucleotides) under Malus domestica (apple). Its description in RNAcentral is "long non-coding RNA (MDOM_LNC003141)". Lineage: Eukaryota; Viridiplantae; Streptophyta; Magnoliopsida; Rosales; Rosaceae. The record is from RNAcentral.
AUGACUCAAAAUAAUGAAAACAAUCAAAUUAGACACUAGGAACUGCAAUGGACGGAAAUUGAAUUAAAAGACUAACAACAAUGAAAACUAACUAGAUAAUAUAAUUUAAUAAUGGGGGGUUUGGUUUUGACGAGAAGUAAAUUAAACUUAAAUAAAUUACAGAAUUGACAAAAACAUGAAAUUAAGGUGAAAUGAUAGGUGACGGACUAGCUAGAGGGUUCUUCUCCACACAUGACACAUAUGCAACCUAAAUUGAUUUUCAGUUGUUCUUUCAAUAAAUUGUAAAUCUCAAUACUUCAGAUUAACCGUGAACAACACUUUUUUAAUCUUCAAGUUUUCCUUAAGUUAUUGAAUUGGACGGAAAAACGCAUACAACAAUUCAAAACAUUCUUCAAAAGUCCCCUACGUGAAAAGCACAAUAGAGAUACAAUCAAAGAUCAUUAAACUUUGUGAAAACUAUAAGCAUUGACGAGGCAUUCGUAACUAUGAAAAGCAUGAUACUCUCUUGCCAAGAAUUCACUUAACACGAUUGUGACUAGCAACCUUCACUACUUGUGAAUAUAAGUUCAUAACGAUUAGGUGAAAUUCACUUAUAUUCUAGCAUCAAAUUCAUGCAUGUAAAUUAAGUAUGCAUUCUUAAUCGACAUACAAAAAUAAGUUAUCAAUCAAGCAGUUAAGCAAAUUAAAUCACAACUCAGAAAUCACAACUGAAGGUAAUCAAUUCAUAUUACAAAUAUAUACAUGGCUUUGAAUUAACCUCUAGCCAAAAUAAAAUUAGUUACACAUUAUUAUCAAAUUAAACCAAAAGUUAAACAUGAAGUUGAGAAGAUAAAACCAAGAAAAUAGAGUGAAGCUUUGCUCUCUAUGCCCUGCUUGUUUCUGCUUCUGUGCCGUGGCCUGUUGACCUGCGCCUCUCCUCCCCUGCUGCUCUGUCCGCACAGUUUUCUGUGUGCUGCCCGUGCCUUCUCGGUUUUCUGCUGCCGCAAGGCAGCUGUCUCUUCGUCCAGCCCUCUCUCCCCCGCGUCAAUCUCUCCCCCCUAUUUUUUCUCUGCGCCUGCCUUCUUAUUUCCUUCGUUUCUGCUUUUUUUCUUUUUUUUUUUAUUAAAGCUGCAAGGGCAGCUAAGCUGCCUCCUGAUCCUCUCUGCGCCUUGCGUCCCUGCUCAUUCCCCACGUCUAUUCCUUUUCUGCUGUCUGUCAGUCCCCCUGCUCUCCCUCCUUCCGCUUUUUCUCUCUGGCAGCCUUGCUGCCUUCCUGCCCGUUUCUGUCUCCUUUUUCCUGCUUUUCCUUUGCCGUGACUUUUAUAUCUCCCACAUGCCUUUAGCUUUUCUUUCCCUUAAGUCUUCCUUUCUUCUUCUUUUAUUCAAUUUCUUGAUAGUGUGCACUCCACUUCUCUCUUUCUCCUCACUGAUAUCCUCUCUUUUUGCCUAUUUUAUUCCUUCUUUUCCCCCCAAGGCACGCUGCAAAGCAGCUUGCUGCUUAUUAUUUUUCUUUCUAGUGGAAGAUGCUGAGCUGCCAAUUCCUCUAUCAUUUUGCUCCUAGAAACACAAUAUAGCAAAAGUAUCACAAAUCCUAUAAUACGUAAAAACAAGGUAAAUAGCUCAAAAAUAUAAGGAACUAACUAAGAAAAGACGAGUGAAUUUGAAGUAAAAAUAUAUAUAAAUAUGAUCCGAUCAAAUACCCCCACACUUAGCUUUUGCUAGUCCUCGAGCAAAACAAAGAGAACAUGAAAAGUAAUAACAUGAAAAACAUUAGUUUCCCCCUAUGUGACUCUCAUAGAAUUUCAUUCGAGAAAACAAAUCAUCAAGAACCAUAGCUAGCACCAAACAAACUAAUCCAAGUUCAUCUUCCUUAUUCAAAUAUUAGCAGUAAUCUUUGAAUCAUCCUUGAAGUGUAGUGUGUGAGAUAGCCAUGCUAAUACAAUUUCAAAUUUUUAUUUUUAAAAUCAUCAUAUGCAAACUAGCAACCUUCUCACAGGAUAUGCCCUCAAUCACACAUGUGUUUAGUUUUAAUGUGUUUCGCUCAAAGAAUCAAAUGUGAAAUUUCUACCAUAAACUUGCAUAAAGAUCACUUCUCCACAGUCAUAAUUGCAAAACUUAAAUCAAGAGGACUUUUAUUGGAUGUAAUGAGGCUUAGGGAUAGGGUUAUUGAAACGAAAGAAUAGGAAAACCCAAAUUCCAAGCUACAUUGCAAGCAAUUCUUUUCUUUAGAUUUAUAAGAAACUCAAGCUCUCCAACGAUUCUUCUAGCACCUCCAACCACACCCUUAAACUGAAACUUGAACAACUUUUUAUUUUCUUUGUGUACAAUCUUUCUUUUUUUUUUUUUUUUUUUUUUUCACAAAAAACUAAAUACAAACAUGAAAUACCCCCACACUUAUUCUUUUGCCAAACACCUUCAAAAUACUUCACAAAUGUUUCUUAUAAGACAAUCUCGCAUUGCUCACUAGCUUGCUUGGAAAGGGUAAGGAAAAAUGUUUCAGGCAUAAGGGUAGACAUAUCUGGUGAUGAGAAAUAAAAGGCUCAACAUACACGGCUCAAAUUGGCAAUCUAAUGAUAUCAUUUUUCUUUGGGAAACAUGGUUAUUUAGGCCAUAGUGGUAAACCUAAUGCCUUUAUCAUUUCCAAGUUCAUGCAAUCAAUGACAAACAUUUCGAAAGAUCGUUACGCAAGUUCUAGAGAUGUAUCUCACAUAAGUUCAUCACACAUGAAAGAAUAGGAGUGUAUGCAAAAAUGCACACACUUUCAAUAGGCUCAAAAACUCACAUAGGAUGUAUAUGGUCACUAAAUUCACAUAUGAAGCUUUAAGUCAUGUUUUAGUUUCACAUCAACAAGGCUAUGUGCAUUUGGUUUUUCAAAGAUGAUCAAACAUGUACAAAACUAACAAGAGAAUUAGGAAUUUCACAAAACACAUGUUAACUAAGUUCUUGAUGAUCAUGGUUCAAAUUUGAUCCAAUUAUAUCAUUGGGUCGGGAAACUAACAAAAAUCUAAUUCAUAACAAUAAGGGAAACAAGACAAUAUUUUUGGAUUUUUUAAAUUUUCCGAUUUUUUUAAAUUUUUUUUUUUUUUUUAAAGAAAACAAAACUAAUUAAGAAAACAAAAAGCAACAACACAGAAACAAAUGAAACCAAUUNAAUUCCCUGACACCCAAAAGGGUCUGCUUUCCAGUGUGAGAGGGUAAACUAAUUGUUCUCUAGUGCAAGAGGGUAAACCAAUUCCCUGACACCUAUAUGGGUAAGCUCUCCAGUGCGAGAGGGUAAACUAAUUGCUCUCCAGUGCGAUAGGGUAAACUAAUUCCCUGACACCCAUCUAGGUAAGCUCUUCAGUACGAGAACGCUACAUAACUCAAAAGAUCGAAUGCUUGAAGACCAACUAAGCAACAAAUGGUCAUUGGGCAGCAACUACUUUGCACCCAAUAGUUUUGCUCAUCCGACACUUCAUCUUCAGUAGCUCCGAUCUUGGCUGCUUUAUAUACGGCAGCUGAGAAAUCAAACUUAAGCAAUUUCCUCAUUUUUAGCAAGCAACCCAGAUAUGGAAGCCCAAAUACGACGCUUCUUCGGCCCAUACUGAGUCAGUCCUUGGCUUUAGUCAAGCCAAGCAGCACAAGAAAUGGCCCCUGCCACACCACCUCCUUGGCCCAUGCCAAGCCAACUCCUGGCCCUCGCCAAUCAACGUGCCGCACCACCCCAACGGCUGCCCCGUGGCAGCACCACCCAAGAAGAAGACAAGGAGAAUUAAGUUUUUCUUACAUCGGUACGGCGCAAAGAAGAUAAAGAAAUCAACGGAAGACGGUUCUUUGCACGGGCAAGCAAAGAAAAGUGCUAGGGGGAACAAAUAUCUUUUAGUUUUCUCUCUUUCUUGUAGGGAUAAAAAUAAUUGCCCUCCGAAGUUGAUUUAAUCCCCUACUUAAGGUAGGCUUAAAUAGGCUUUGGAGGUGAUUUAUUUCCCUUUCCUAGAAGAAUCUAAUUCCAAGUCCAAGUGAGAAUCUGCAUCAAAGCUGGAGAUCUCUACGCAUGUUGCCAUUUCCUAUGAGCAGCUCAGCAGGUGUGGGGAUUCGUGGAGCCAAAAAUAAUCAAGAAAAAUAUGGAGGCGACAUGUGAAUCUAGGGUGAAAAAGACAAAAUUACCCUCAAGGAAUACUGGAACUCCUACAAGCGAAUAGUGGACAAUCAUGACUCAAUCAAGGUCAAAAAUGCUCAAAAUAGGUAAUUAUUCAAAACCUAUUUCAUCCAUCCUCAUCAAAUCUUCUCCACAAGGCAACCUCAAAUCAUUCAUUUCAAAUUAUAUUAAUUAGCUAAUUAAUUGAUUUAUUAGCUAAUUGAUUGAAAUUAACACAAAAAAUACCACAUAUGUGAUGCGAGAAUUACUUAACACACAAAUUAAACCCUCUUUUUGACAAUUGUAGUAUAGAUGUAAGUAGGGUAUCGUUCUAGGCCGGGGAUUAGGAGGGAUUGCUAAUCUAUUCUAAAUUAAUUUAAAAAUAUUAAACAAGACUCAAGGACACAAAACUAGGCUAAAAACUCUAAUAACUCGAAACACACUUAGGAUGACUCAAAAUAAUGAAAACAAUCAAAUUAGACACUAGGAACUGCAAUGGACGGAAAUUGAAUUAAAAGACUAACAACAAUGAAAACUAACUAGAUAAUAUAAUUUAAUAAUGGGGGGUUUGGUUUUGACGAGAAGUAAAUUAAACUUAAAUAAAUUACAGAAUUGACAAAAACAUGAAAUUAAGGUGAAAUGAUAGGUGACGGACUAGCUAGAGGGUUCUUCUCCACACAUGACACAUAUGCAACCUAAAUUGAUUUUCAGUUGUUCUUUCAAUAAAUUGUAAAUCUCAAUACUUCAGAUUAACCGUGAACAACACUUUUUUAAUCUUCAAGUUUUCCUUAAGUUAUUGAAUUGGACGGAAAAACGCAUACAACAAUUCAAAACAUUCUUCAAAAGUCCCCUACGUGAAAAGCACAAUAGAGAUACAAUCAAAGAUCAUUAAACUUUG